Molecule: long non-coding RNA, 336 nt
Organism: Microplitis mediator
Lineage: Eukaryota; Metazoa; Arthropoda; Insecta; Hymenoptera; Braconidae
Exons: 4
Source: RefSeq, a predicted model, not a curated record
UAAAUGACUAUAUAAAACCGUCAAGUUGGAGACUAAAAUUAUCAUUUUCAAACCGAAACUUUCGCAGUAUACUGUAUCUUCAAAUAAUUCAGCAAUCAUGAAGAUUUUCCACUACUUAGUACUUUUCGUCGUAAUGCUGACUAUUGGUUUCAAUGCAGAAGUAAAUGCUACUUCACCACUUAAAAAACGUUCUCCUGAGGAACCAUGUCCAUUUCCAGAGUGCGAAGGUUGAAUGAGAAAUCACAGUUAUUACAAUUACCAUAUAUUGAAAAAUGUAUUUGUGAAAAUAAUAAUCUGAUGCAAUAAAUACAUAAAUUAUUAAACAACCAAUAAAAA